RNAcentral lists this non-coding RNA (45 nucleotides) under Schistosoma margrebowiei. The record is from RNAcentral. Lineage: Eukaryota; Metazoa; Platyhelminthes; Trematoda; Strigeidida; Schistosomatidae.
AUCCAGCUGACGAGUCCCAUAUAAGACGGAAUGCGUGUCUUGGAU